GGGCUGUAGCUCAGUGGCAGAGUGACUGCCUGGCCCCAGGUUCAAUCCCCGACAGCACCU
This 60-nucleotide transfer RNA is filed under the name Podarcis lilfordi (Lilford's wall lizard). Its description in RNAcentral is "tRNA.Leu". Lineage: Eukaryota; Metazoa; Chordata; Lepidosauria; Squamata; Lacertidae. The record is from RNAcentral.